Molecule: ribosomal RNA, 254 nt
Filed under: uncultured bacterium
Lineage: Bacteria
Description: partial 16S ribosomal RNA
Rfam family: Bacterial small subunit ribosomal RNA
Source: RNAcentral
UACGGGGGGAGCAAGCGUUGUUCGGAUUUACUGGGCGUAAAGGGCGCGUAGGCGGCCUGUGCAAGUCAGUUGUGAAAUCUCCGAGCUUAACUCGGAACGGUCAACUGAUACUGCUCGGCUAGAGUGCGGAAGGGGCAACUGGAAUUCUUGGUGUAGCGGUGAAAUGCGCAGAUAUCAGGAGGAACACCAAUGGCGAAGGCAGCUCGCUGGAACGGUACUGACGCUGAGGCGCGAAAGCGUGGGGAGCGAACAGG